Molecule: ribosomal RNA, 240 nt
Filed under: uncultured bacterium
Lineage: Bacteria
Description: partial 16S ribosomal RNA
Rfam family: Bacterial small subunit ribosomal RNA
Source: RNAcentral
GAUACUGGCUCAGGAUGAACGCUGGCGGCGUGCUUAACACAUGCAAGUCGAGCGAAGCACUUAAGUUUGAUUCUUCGGAUGAAGACUUUUUGUGACUGAGCGGCGGACGGGUGAGUAACGCGUGGGUAACCUGCCUCAUACAGGGGGAUAACAGUUAGAAAUGACUGCUAAUACUGCAUAAGACCACGGUACCGCAUGGUACAGUGGUAAAAACUCCGGUGGUAUGAGAUGGACCCGCGU